RNAcentral lists this ribosomal RNA (284 nucleotides) under uncultured soil bacterium. Its description in RNAcentral is "partial 16S ribosomal RNA". It matches the Rfam family "Bacterial small subunit ribosomal RNA", at positions 26 to 313 of the family's 1533-position model. The record is from RNAcentral.
AGAUUGAACGCUGGCGGCAGGCCUAACACAUGCAAGUCGAGCGGAUGAAGAGAGCUUGCUCUCUGAUUCAGCGGCGGACGGGUGAGUAAUGCCUAGGAAUCUGCCUGGUAGUGGGGGACAACGUUUCGAAAGGAACGCUAAUACCGCAUACGUCCUACGGGAGAAAGCAGGGGACCUUCGGGCCUUGCGCUAUCAGAUGAGCCUAGGUCGAUUAGCUAGUUGGUGAGGUAAUGGCUCACCAAGGCGACGAUCCGUAACUGGUCUGAGAGGAUGAUCAGUCACAC